GAUGAACGCUGGCGGCGUGCCUAAUACAUGCAAGUCGAGCGAACAGACGAGGAGCUUGCUCCUCUGACGUUAGCGGCGGACGGGUGAGUAACACGUGGAUAACCUACCUAUAAGACUGGGAUAACUUCGGGAAACCGGAGCUAAUACCGGAUAAUAUAUUGAACCGCAUGGUUCAAUAGUGAAAGACGGUUUUGCUGUCACUUAUAGAUGGAUCCGCGCCGCAUUAGAUAGUUGGUAAGGUAAAGGCUUACCAAGGCAACGAUGCGUAGCCGACCUGAGAGAGUGAUAGGCCACACUGGAACUGAGACACGGUCCAGACUCCUACGGGAGGCCGCAGUAGGGAACCUUCCGCAAUGGGCGAAAGCCUGACGGAGCAACGCCGCGUGAGUUAUGAAGGUCUUCGGAUCGUAAAACUCUGUUAUUAGGGAAGAACAAAUGUGUAAGUAACUAUGCACGUCUUGACGGUACCUAAUCAGAAAGCCACGGCUAACUACGUG
This 497-nucleotide ribosomal RNA is filed under the name uncultured bacterium. RNAcentral describes it as "partial 16S ribosomal RNA". It matches the Rfam family "Bacterial small subunit ribosomal RNA", at positions 28 to 507 of the family's 1533-position model. The record is from RNAcentral.